AUUGAACGCUGGCGGCAGGCCUAGCACAUGCAAGUCGAGCGGAUGAAGGGAGCUUGCUCCUGGAUUCAGCGGCGGACGGGUGAGUAAUGCCUAGGAAUCUGCCUGGUAGUGGGGGAUAACGUCCGGAAACGGGCGCUAAUACCGCAUACGUCCUGAGGGAGAAAGUGGGGGAUCUUCGGACCUCACGCUAUCAGAUGAGCCUAGGUCGGAUUAGCUAGUUGGUGGGGUAAAGGCCUACCAAGGCGACGAUCCGUAACUGGUCUGAGAGGAUGAUCAGUCACACUGGAACUGGGACACGGUCCAGACUCCUACGGGAGGCAGCAGUGGGGAAUAUUGGACAAUGGGCGAAAGCCUGAUCCAGCCAUGCCGCGUGUGUGAAGAAGGUCUUCGGAUUGUAAAGCACUUUAAGUUGGGAGGAAGGGCAGUAAGUUAAUACCUUGCUGUUUUGACGGUACCAACAGAAUAAGCACCGGCUAACUUCGUG
RNAcentral lists this ribosomal RNA (484 nucleotides) under uncultured bacterium. RNAcentral describes it as "partial 16S ribosomal RNA". It matches the Rfam family "Bacterial small subunit ribosomal RNA", at positions 30 to 507 of the family's 1533-position model. The record is from RNAcentral.